RNAcentral lists this long non-coding RNA (506 nucleotides) under Felis catus (domestic cat). Its description in RNAcentral is "lncRNA (ENSFCAG00000051425.1)". Lineage: Eukaryota; Metazoa; Chordata; Mammalia; Carnivora; Felidae. The record is from RNAcentral.
UGCUGAUGCGGAGUCUGGGCUGCGUGUCCCCUAAGGACGGCGUCCCUGCUGUCUCAGAAGAGAUGCCCCGGUUUUAUAAGAAAUACUCUUUAAUAUCUCCGUAAUGACGUCCAUAGAGAAUUAUCACCUGCUCAUGCUCCAAAUUUCAAAAAGCAGGUGCCUCGCUGGAUUUGGCCCACAGAACGCAGUUUACUGACCCUUGGUCUGGGGCAGCCCCUUCAGUUUACAGGGUGGGCCUACGGCGGACAUUCAGCACCCGGGCCAGAGGACAGAGCCUGAUGGGGCCAGGCCCUCCAGUCUCAGCACCAGGGACCCCUGGACCUCUGGGAUCUGCUUGCUCCUGGGCCUGGAUGUGAGACCAGUGCCUCCCAGACCUGCGGUUCGGGGCCAGUUUUGUUUCUUUUUUUCAGUUCAUCAUGGGCUGAUAGUUCUGUAAAAUACAGUAAAUAUGGAAGUGGGGAAAUGGAGACGAAGAGACAUGUAACAAACAUUAUUAGAUUCAACGG